RNAcentral lists this ribosomal RNA (521 nucleotides) under uncultured bacterium. Its description in RNAcentral is "partial 16S ribosomal RNA". It matches the Rfam family "Bacterial small subunit ribosomal RNA", at positions 355 to 867 of the family's 1533-position model. The record is from RNAcentral.
UGGGGAAUUUUGGACAAUGGGCGAAAGCCUGAUCCAGCCAUGCCGCGUGCAGGAUGAAGGCCUUCGGGUUGUAAACUGCUUUUGUACGGAACGAAAAGACUCUGGUUAAUACCUGGGGUCCAUGACGGUACCGUAAGAAUAAGCACCGGCUAACUACGUGCCAGCAGCCGCGGUAAUACGUAGGGUGCAAGCGUUAAUCGGAAUUACUGGGCGUAAAGCGUGCGCAGGCGGUUAUAUAAGACAGAUGUGAAAUCCCCGGGCUCAACCUGGGAACUGCAUUUGUGACUGUAUAGCUAGAGUACGGCAGAGGGGGGAUGGAAUUCCGCGUGUAGCAGUGAAAUGCGUAGAUAUGCGGAGGAACACCGAUGGCGAAGGCAAUCCCCUGGGCCUGUACUGACGCUCAUGCACGAAAGCGUGGGGGAGCAAACAGGAUUAGAUACCCUGGUAGUCCACGCCCUAAACGAUGUCAACUGGUUGUUGGGUCUUCACUGACUCAGUAACGAAGCUAACGCGUGAAGUUG